This 73-nucleotide transfer RNA is filed under the name Pangasianodon hypophthalmus (striped catfish). It matches the Rfam family "tRNA". Rfam says of the family: Transfer RNA (tRNA) molecules are approximately 80 nucleotides in length. The record is from Rfam by way of RNAcentral. Lineage: Eukaryota; Metazoa; Chordata; Actinopteri; Siluriformes; Pangasiidae.
UUCCUGGAGGACUAGUGGUUAGGCCACAGCGCUCUCACCGCUGUGGCUAGGGUUCAAAUUCCCGGCCAGGGAU